CCUACGGGGGGCAGCAGUGGGGAAUAUUGCACAAUGGGCGAAAGCCUGAUGCAGCGACGCCGCGUGAGCGAUGAAGUCCUUCGGUUCGUAAAGCUCUGUCCUCAGGGAAGAAAAUGACGGUACUUGAGUAGGAAGCCCCGGCUAACUACGUGCCAGCAGCCGCGGUAAUACGUAGGGGGCUAGCGUUAUCCGGAAUUACUGGGCGUAAAGGGUGCGUAGGUGGUUUCUAAAGUCAGAGGUGAACGGGUACGGCUCAACCGUAGUAAGCCUUUGAAACUGGGCAACUUGAGUGCAGGAGAGGAGAGGGGAAUUCCUAGUGUAGCGGUGAAAUGCGUAGAUAUUAGGAGGAACACCAGUGGCGAAGGCGGCUCUCUGGACUGUAACUGACAUUGAGGCACGAAAGCGUGGGGAGCAAACAGGAUUAGAUACCCGUGUAGUC
RNAcentral lists this ribosomal RNA (439 nucleotides) under uncultured bacterium. RNAcentral's name for it is "partial 16S ribosomal RNA". It matches the Rfam family "Bacterial small subunit ribosomal RNA", at positions 338 to 795 of the family's 1533-position model. The record is from RNAcentral.